RNAcentral lists this ribosomal RNA (120 nucleotides) under Pteropus alecto (black flying fox). The record is from RNAcentral. Lineage: Eukaryota; Metazoa; Chordata; Mammalia; Chiroptera; Pteropodidae.
GUCUACGGCCAUGCCACCCUGAACGAGCUCAAUCUUUGUCUGAUCUCGGAAGCUAAGCAGGGUCAGGCCUGGUUAGUACUUGGUUAGGAGACCACCUAGGAAGACCAGGUGUUGUAGGUG